This is a long non-coding RNA of Fukomys damarensis (Damara mole-rat), 231 nucleotides long. RefSeq lists it as uncharacterized. The transcript has 3 exons. NCBI's taxonomy places the organism in Eukaryota, Metazoa, Chordata, Mammalia, Rodentia, Bathyergidae. The record is from RefSeq and is a predicted model, not a curated record.
CACAAGGUUCUAGAUGAAGCUCUAAGUGCAGUUCCCAGAUCAGCUCACUGGAUCUUCACAGGAAACUGGUGCUGUGUACCAGAGACUGAAGGCAAGGGUGCUCUCUCACUGAGCUAAAGCCCAGCUCUCAUAAGGACCUCGCGCUUGUGAGGUACAGUGGGUUCUCCAGGAUAUAACUCCACCCACCCUACGUUGGGGGCGUCUGUCCCUACAGCAUCCCCUGGGCCCAAC